UGAGGAAUAUUGGUCAAUGGUCGCAAGACUGAACCAGCCAUGCCGCGUGCAGGAAGGCGGUCCUAUGGAUUGUAAACUGCUUUUAUACAGGAAGAAACCCUCCCACGUGUGGGAGCUUGACGGUACUGUAGGAAUAAGGAUCGGCUAACUCCGUGCCAGCAGCCGCGGUAAUACGGAGGAUCCAAGCGUUAUCCGGAAUCAUUGGGUUUAAAGGGGUCCGUAGGCGGUCUUAUAAGUCAGCGGUGAAAGCCCAUCGCUCAACGAUGGAACUGCCAUUGAUACUGUAAGACUUGAAUGCUUAGGAAGUAACUAGAAUAUGUAGUGUAGCGGUGAAAUGCUUAGAUAUUACAUGGAAUACCAAUUGCGAAGGCAGGUUACUACUAAGUGAUCGACGCUGAUGGACGAAGCGUGGGGAGCGAACAGGAUUAGAUAUCCUGGUAGUCCACGCCGUAAACGAUGGAUACUAGCUGUUCGGCGCAAGUUGAGUGGCUAAGCGAAAGUGAUAAGUAUCCCACCUGGGGAGUACGCACGC
This 532-nucleotide ribosomal RNA is filed under the name uncultured bacterium. Its description in RNAcentral is "partial 16S ribosomal RNA". It matches the Rfam family "Bacterial small subunit ribosomal RNA", at positions 355 to 889 of the family's 1533-position model. The record is from RNAcentral.